CUGGCUCAGGACGAACGCUGGCGGCGUGCCUAACACAUGCAAGUCGAACGGAGUUAAACGCUGAUUUGAAGAUAGCUUGCUAUAAGAUUUUCUUGUUUAACUUAGUGGCGGACGGGUGAGUAACGCGUGAGCAACCUGCCUUACAGAGGGGGACAACAGUUGGAAACGACUGCUAAUACCGCAUAAUGUGGAGAGAGGACAUCCUUUUUUCACCAAAGGAGCAAUUCGCUGUAAGAUGGGCUCGCGUCCGAUUAGCCAGUUGGCGGGGUAACGGCCCACCAAAGCGACGAUCGGUAGCCGGACUGAGAGGUUGAACGGCCACAUUGGGACUGAGACACGGCCCAGACUCCUACGGGAGGCAGCAGUGGGGGAUAUUGCACAAUGGAGGGAACUCUGAUGCAGCAACGCCGCAUGAGGGAAGAAGGUUUUCGGAUUGUAAACCUCUGUUUUUAGUGAAGAAACAAAUGACGGUAGCUAAAGAGGAAGCCACGGCUAACUACGUGCCAGCAGCCGCGGUAAUACGUAGGUGGCAAGCGUUGUCCGGAAUUACUGGGUGUAAAGGGUGCGCAGGCGGGACUGCAAGUUGGAUGUGAAAUACCGGAGCUUAACUCCGGAGCUGCAUCCAAAACUGUGGUUCUUGAGUGGAGUAGAGGUAAGCGGAAUUCCGAGUGUAGCGGUGAAAUGCGUAGAUAUUCGGAGGAACACCAGUGGCGAAGGCGGCUUACUGGGCUCUAACUGACGCUGAGGCACGAAAGCAUGGGUAGCAAACAGGAUUAGAUACCCUGGUAGUCCAUGCUGUAAACGAUGAAUGCUAGGUGUGGGAGGACUGACCCCUUCCGUGCCGGAGUAAGCACAAUAAGCAUUCCACCUGGGGAGUACGACCGCAAGGUUGAAACUCAAAGGAAUUGACGGGGGCCCGCACAAGCAGUGGAGUAUGUGGUUUAAUUCGAAGCAACGCGAAGAACCUUACCAGGUCUUGACAUCCGACUAACGAAGUAGAGAUACAUUAGGUGCCCUUCGGGGAAAGUUGAGACAGGUGGUGCAUGGUUGUCGUCAGCUCGUGUCGUGAGAUGUUGGGUUAAGUCCCGCAACGAGCGCAACCCCUGCCGAUAGUUGCUACGCAAGAGCACUCUAUCGGGACCGCUACCGAC
This 1151-nucleotide ribosomal RNA is filed under the name uncultured bacterium. RNAcentral's name for it is "bacterial SSU rRNA". It matches the Rfam family "Bacterial small subunit ribosomal RNA", at positions 19 to 1159 of the family's 1533-position model. The record is from RNAcentral.